AGGACGAACGCUGGCGGCGUGCCUAACACAUGCAAGUCGAACGGGACCCGCAAGGGUUCAGUGGCGAACGGGUGCGUAACACGUGAAGAAUUUAUCCAACGGCGGGGGAUAGCCGGCCCAACGGCCGGGUAAUACCGCGUACGACCCUCGGGGGGCAUCCCCUGAAGGUGAAAGCCGCAAGGCGCCGAUGGAGAACUUCGCGGCCUAUCAGCUAGUUGGUGAGGUCAUGGCUCACCAAGGCGACGACGGGUAGCUGGUCCGAGAGGAUGACCAGCCACAUUGGGACUGAGACACGGCCCAGACUCCUACGGGAGGCAGCAGUGGGGAAUAUUGGACAAUGGGCGAAAGCCUGAUCCAGCAAUGCCGCGUGAGUGACGACGGCCUUCGGGUUGUAACCUCUUUAGUAGGGAAGAAGCGAAGUGACGGUACCUGCAGAAAAGCACCGGCUAACUACGUGCCAGCAGCCGC
RNAcentral lists this ribosomal RNA (468 nucleotides) under uncultured bacterium. RNAcentral describes it as "SSU rRNA". It matches the Rfam family "Bacterial small subunit ribosomal RNA", at positions 26 to 518 of the family's 1533-position model. The record is from RNAcentral.